RNAcentral lists this long non-coding RNA (1290 nucleotides) under Lactuca sativa (garden lettuce). RNAcentral describes it as "long non-coding RNA (LSAT_LNC002088)". Lineage: Eukaryota; Viridiplantae; Streptophyta; Magnoliopsida; Asterales; Asteraceae. The record is from RNAcentral.
UUGGAUAUUCUUUAUACUAUUGUUGAAGGUGAUUCUAAAGCCGUCCGACGCAUGUCAACCGUUUAAACUCCACUUUCUUUCAAUCUCCACAGUAAUAACUCAAAAUCUGAGGUUGUAGCCCGUUUUAAGCUCCUCCCCACGUUCCUCACCACCUAUCGUUUUCUCCUCCCACGUUCAACAGGUUUUUAGUUUCCUUCCAAAGACUCCUUUGAUCAUCAUGAUAUGGAGGCGGGUAACUACCCUAACCACGACCUAGAAAUCGGACCUAUAUAAUGAUCCGACUAUGUUUAAUGUUUCUAUCUUUCACUCAGUGUAUUGACUUGCUUCAUUUGAUGUCAACGUUUAUGGAUUCAAGUUCGGCUGAAAAUUGUUCGGCUAAGCUAACUUUAUCGACUUAUGCUUAAAUUUUCAAUGUUUCAAUGAGUUUCUUCAAUUAAUUCUUUUUGUGCACAAUUAUCGAUAAAGAAUUUCGUCUAAAUAGUCUUCAACUAAGGUAAAAUCUUUACAGUUAGUUAUCUCUAUGUUUUAAAUAUUAUCCUAUGUCUAAAAAUCCUCAUGAAUAACAAUUAUCCUCAUAAUAUUCUGUAAUGUUCGGAUACUGUUCAAUGUUUCAAUGCUACACUCAGUUCGGUUCCUUCAAUUUCUUGAUUUGAUUCCGUCAUAUGAACACUUUUGGCUACAAUUUCGUUUGAAAAGUCUUAAACAAAGGUAAAUUCUUUAAAAUUAGUUUGUUGUUAUCAAUUUCAUUUUUGUUUAAAGAAUGUCAUUCUUUGUGGGACUGAUAAGCGGCCUUAUAGUGGGAUAACACUCUUUGUUGUAUUCGUUUGGUCCAGGAAUGGUCAAUUGAUGAUGCGUACUGCAGACACGCACAAGAAAAAGAGGCGCAAACAUGGAGAUUUUGUUGAUGCCUUAAUCGCUUUUGAAGAUGCAUAUGGGAACUGAAGUGGAUAUCAACCAAGGGUAUGAACUGAUUUUAUUCCUUAUUUUCUGUCCCUUGAGGACAGUUUAUUUUCAUUUUUUUCAAUGUAUUGAAGAGAUGGAGAGAAGCGUGGAUGUUACAUGUGCAAUUAUUUUGUCCACCAAGUGUUUGAUGAAAGUCCAUAUUUGUUUACUUAUUAUAUUGUUCCAAAUUGAUGUUAUUUACUGGCUUCUAUGUAUGUAUUUGUGUGUACAUGCUCUUAGAAAAAUAUGGUUGAUAUAAAAAGGUGUGAGUUUGUGUUAUUUUUGUUCUUUCAGUAAAUUAUGUCAUUCUUUAAUGGAAUAAUUUUGAAGCCUGUUCAUGGUAUUCGA